RNAcentral lists this ribosomal RNA (253 nucleotides) under uncultured bacterium. Its description in RNAcentral is "partial 16S ribosomal RNA". It matches the Rfam family "Bacterial small subunit ribosomal RNA", at positions 524 to 776 of the family's 1533-position model. The record is from RNAcentral.
UACGUAGGGUGCGAGCGUUGUCCGGAAUUACUGGGCGUAAAGAGCUCGUAGGUGGUUUGUCGCGUUGUUCGUGAAAACCGGGGGCUUAACCCUCGGCGUGCGGGCGAUACGGGCAGACUGGAGUACUGCAGGGGAGACUGGAAUUCCUGGUGUAGCAGUGGAAUGCGCAGAUAUCAGGAGGAACACCGGUGGCGAAGGCGGGUCUCUGGGCGGUAACUGACGCUGAGGAGCGAAAGCGUGGGGAGCGAACAGG